Molecule: ribosomal RNA, 301 nt
Filed under: uncultured bacterium
Lineage: Bacteria
Description: partial 16S ribosomal RNA
Rfam family: Bacterial small subunit ribosomal RNA
Source: RNAcentral
CAGCAGCCGCGGUAAUACGUAGGUGGCAAGCGUUGUCCGGAAUUAUUGGGCGUAAAGCGCGCGCAGGUGGUUUAAUAAGUCUGAUGUGAAAGCCCACGGCUCAACCGUGGAGGGUCAUUGGAAACUGUUAAACUUGAGUGCAGGAGAGAAAAGUGGAAUUCCUAGUGUAGCGGUGAAAUGCGUAGAGAUUAGGAGGAACACCAGUGGCGAAGGCGGCUUUUUGGCCUGUAACUGACACUGAGGCGCGAAAGCGUGGGGAGCAAACAGGAUUAGAUACCCCGUGUCCCUGUCUCUUAUACAC